AAUUUGUUGUUCCCGGGCUUGUGCCAAGAGUGUUUGUGUUAAUAAACCAAAUGGACGCUCCAGAGUCCACCGAGAGUGACUGAUGGUGGAGGCAGCCAGGCGCCAGCCCGAGGCCAGAGGAGGUGUGGGUCAUAGACUUCCAGUCGAAACCUUCUGAGGUUUCCCAGCCCCAGGGACCCUCGGCGGUCAUCUCUCCCAACACCCUUGAUGCACAGAAUUCUCCCAUGAGAAGACCCUAUUUGGCCCCAUUUUUGCAAAUGAGGAAUUUCAGCUCCAACAAGGAGACAGAGACUUGCAGAGACAGAGAGACACAGAAGAGCACCGGGGAGGAAGGCCAUGUGACCACAGAGGCUGGGAUUGGCGUGAGGCACCUACGAGCCAGUGAAGGUCGAGGAUUGCCGGCAACCACCAGCAUCUCACACAAGGAGGACAAAAAUCUUCCAGACAAGGAGGGAUUUUCCUCUGGAGCCUUAAGGGGGAGCCUGGCUCCACCAUCACCUUGACUUUGGACUUCUAAACUCUGGAACCGUGAGAGAAUAAAUUUCUGUUGUUUUAAGCCACCCGGUUCAUGGUACUUCAUUACAGCAGCCCCAGGAACCUAAUCUGGAAUCCUAGAGUCAUUAUUCUGAUCCCUCUCCCAAGCAAACCCUUUCUCAUAGUCAAGGUCACACAAGUGUUUACCGAAAGCCAGCAGGUGCCCGGGGACCGAGGACACAGAGAAGAUACAGUCCCUCGCUCAGGGGGCUCACACACAGACAAUGACAACACAGUUGUCCCUUGUCCUCCUUGCUUUGACGUCUGGUGGGGUACUGGAGGAAGCGGGGGCUGUGUGGACAAAUCUUGCUUUUGAACGUUGGGGCCAUCACUUCCUGGCUGUGUGCUCAAUGGCAGGGCAUAGCCCACCUCUCUGAAACCUGGUUUCUUCAUCUGC
This is a long non-coding RNA of Zalophus californianus (California sea lion), 931 nucleotides long. RefSeq lists it as uncharacterized. Lineage: Eukaryota; Metazoa; Chordata; Mammalia; Carnivora; Otariidae. The record is from RefSeq and is a predicted model, not a curated record. The transcript is spliced from 3 exons.